This 586-nucleotide ribosomal RNA is filed under the name uncultured Pseudomonas sp. RNAcentral describes it as "bacterial SSU rRNA". It matches the Rfam family "Bacterial small subunit ribosomal RNA", at positions 102 to 684 of the family's 1533-position model. The record is from RNAcentral. Lineage: Bacteria; Pseudomonadati; Pseudomonadota; Gammaproteobacteria; Pseudomonadales; Pseudomonadaceae.
ACGGGUGAGUAAUGCCUAGGAAUCUGCCUGGUAGUGGGGGAUAACGCUCGGAAACGGACGCUAAUACCGCAUACGUCCUACGGGAGAAAGCAGGGGACCUUCGGGCCUUGCGCUAUCAGAUGAGCCUAGGUCGGAUUAGCUAGUUGGUGAGGUAAUGGCUCACCAAGGCGACGAUCCGUAACUGGUCUGAGAGGAUGAUCAGUCACACUGGAACUGAGACACGGUCCAGACUCCUACGGGAGGCAGCAGUGGGGAAUAUUGGACAAUGGGCGAAAGCCUGAUCCAGCCAUGCCGCGUGUGUGAAGAAGGUCUUCGGAUUGUAAAGCACUUUAAGUUGGGAGGAAGGGCAGUUACCUAAUACGUAUCUGUUUUGACGUUACCGACAGAAUAAGCACCGGCUAACUCUGUGCCAGCAGCCGCGGUAAUACAGAGGGUGCAAGCGUUAAUCGGAAUUACUGGGCGUAAAGCGCGCGUAGGUGGUUUGUUAAGUUGGAUGUGAAAUCCCCGGGCUCAACCUGGGAACUGCAUUCAAAACUGACAAGCUAGAGUAUGGUAGAGGGUGGUGGAAUUUCCUGUGUAGCGGUGA